This 217-nucleotide ribosomal RNA is filed under the name uncultured bacterium. RNAcentral's name for it is "partial 16S ribosomal RNA". It matches the Rfam family "Bacterial small subunit ribosomal RNA", at positions 122 to 334 of the family's 1533-position model. The record is from RNAcentral.
UAACCUGCCUCUUAGCGGGGGAUAACUAUUGGAAACGAUAGCUAAUACCGCAUAAAAGUCGAUAUCGCAUGAUGUUGACUUGAAAGGUGCAAUUGCAUCACUAAGAGAUGGACCUGCGUUGUAUUAGCUAGUUGGUGAGGUAACGGCUCACCAAGGCGACGAUACAUAGCCGACCUGAGAGGGUGAUCGGCCACACUGGGACUGAGACACGGCCCAG